UUUUCCCUACGGGAGUCAGCAUUUUUUAAUAUUUCACAAUGUUUGAAACCCUGAUGCAGCAACGCCGCGUGAGUGAAGAAGUAUUUCGGUAUGUAAAGCUCUAUCAGCAGGGAAGAAGAAAGACGGUACCUGACUAAGAAGCCCCGGCUAACUACGUGCCAGCAGCCGCGGUAAUACGUAGGGGGCAAGCGUUAUCCGGAUUUACUGGGUGUAAAGGGAGCGUAGACGGCUGUGCAAGUCUGAAGUGAAAGCCCGUGGCUCAACCGCGGAACUGCUUUGGAAAAUGUGUAGCUUGAGUACUGGAG
RNAcentral lists this ribosomal RNA (305 nucleotides) under uncultured bacterium. RNAcentral describes it as "bacterial SSU rRNA". It matches the Rfam family "Bacterial small subunit ribosomal RNA", at positions 333 to 654 of the family's 1533-position model. The record is from RNAcentral.